This 45-nucleotide non-coding RNA is filed under the name Schistosoma mansoni. Lineage: Eukaryota; Metazoa; Platyhelminthes; Trematoda; Strigeidida; Schistosomatidae. The record is from RNAcentral.
AUCCAGCUCACAAGUCCCAAAUGGGACGAAACACGAGUCCUGGAU